Molecule: transfer RNA, 73 nt
Filed under: Saccoglossus kowalevskii
Lineage: Eukaryota; Metazoa; Hemichordata; Enteropneusta; Harrimaniidae
Description: tRNA-Tyr
Rfam family: tRNA
About the family: Transfer RNA (tRNA) molecules are approximately 80 nucleotides in length.
Source: RNAcentral
CCUUCGAUAGCUCAGUUGGUAGAGCGGAGUACUGUAGAUCCUUAGGUCGCUGGUUCGAAUCCGGCUCGAAGGA